Megalops cyprinoides (Indo-Pacific tarpon) is the source of this 294-nucleotide long non-coding RNA. RefSeq lists it as uncharacterized. NCBI's taxonomy places the organism in Eukaryota, Metazoa, Chordata, Actinopteri, Elopiformes, Megalopidae. The record is from RefSeq and is a predicted model, not a curated record. The transcript is spliced from 3 exons.
AUUGUCAAUGAAAUCAACCGAGCCCUGUCCGAGAGGGUUGCCAAUGAGAUCUUUGAGAACACAUUGAGAACCAUUGCUGGGGGAGGAGAAUGUCACAAUAUCACCUUCAUCUGCACCAAAACAGAUGUCGUCAAUCCGGAGGAAAUCAAAGAGAAUUACAAUGUUACGGAUUCACACCUUGAAAUAAGUGAAAGUGAGGAUUCUCCAGAUUAUGAGAAUAAGGAAAAGCAGGCAUGCAUAACGUUCCGUAAUGAGAGAGCGAAAGAUGAAAUCACCACACAACACAAAGAGAAA